This 476-nucleotide ribosomal RNA is filed under the name uncultured bacterium. RNAcentral describes it as "bacterial SSU rRNA". It matches the Rfam family "Bacterial small subunit ribosomal RNA", at positions 41 to 507 of the family's 1533-position model. The record is from RNAcentral.
GGCAGGCCUAACACAUGCAAGUCGAACGGUAACAGGAAGAAGCUUGCUUCUUUGCUGACGAGUGGCGGACGGGUGAGUAAUGUCUGGGAAACUGCCUGAUGGAGGGGAUAACUACUGGAAACGGUAGCUAAUACCGCAUAACGUCGCAAGACCAAAGAGGGGGACCUUCGGGCCUCUUGCCAUCGGAUGUGCCCAGAUGGGAUUAGCUAGUAGGUGGGGUAACGGCUCACCUAGGCGACGAUCCCUAGCUGGUCUGAGAGGAUGACCAGCCACACUGGAACUGAGACACGGUCCAGACUCCUACGGGAGGCAGCAGUGGGGAAUAUUGCACAAUGGGCGCAAGCCUGAUGCAGCCAUGCCGCGUGUAUGAAGAAGGCCUUCGGGUUGUAAAGUACUUUCAGCGGGGAGGAAGGGAGUAAAGUUAAUACCUUUGCUCAUUGACGUUACCCGCAGAAGAAGCACCGGCUAACUCCGUG